Puma concolor (puma) is the source of this 246-nucleotide long non-coding RNA. RefSeq lists it as uncharacterized. The record is from RefSeq and is a predicted model, not a curated record. Lineage: Eukaryota; Metazoa; Chordata; Mammalia; Carnivora; Felidae.
CUCUAGGAAGGCCACAGAACCAUUGGGAAAAACAGUGCCGAGGUGAUAUGAGGCUGUUGGUGCUGUGGCAUUGGAGAUGGCCCCGGGAAACUGCACGCUGCUGCCAUCGCCCCCACCACGGCCAGGAGGGAGUCUUCCCUGCCCCGCCUCUGGGUGGCAUUGCUUCCAGAAUCCACAUCCCAGGUUGCUAUGACUAUCACAGGAACUAGGAACUUCUCCCGAGCUCUGCUAAAGCCGUUGAAAAAA